Molecule: transfer RNA, 65 nt
Filed under: Silvanidae sp. KM-2017
Lineage: Eukaryota; Metazoa; Arthropoda; Insecta; Coleoptera; Silvanidae
Description: tRNA-Ile
Source: RNAcentral
AGUGAGAUGCCUGACUAAAGGGCCAUUUUGAUAGAAUGGAUCAUGUAAUCAAACUACUCUCACUA